RNAcentral lists this non-coding RNA (29 nucleotides) under Rattus norvegicus (Norway rat). The record is from RNAcentral. Lineage: Eukaryota; Metazoa; Chordata; Mammalia; Rodentia; Muridae.
UGAUAUUCAUGUAUCUUCUUAGUCCUUCA